UACGUAGGUGGCAGGCGUUGUCCGGAUUUACUGGGCGUAAAGAGCGCGCAGGCGGUCGUUCAAGUCGCGUGUGAAAGCCCCCGGCUCAACUGGGGAGGGUCACGCGAUACUGAUCGACUCGAAGGCAGGAGAGGGUAGUGGAAUUCCCGGUGUAGUGGUGAAAUGCGUAGAUAUCAGGAAGAACACCAAUGGCGAAGGCAGCUCUCUGGGACGGUACUGACGCUGAGACGCGAAAGCGUGGGGAGCAAACAGG
RNAcentral lists this ribosomal RNA (253 nucleotides) under uncultured bacterium. RNAcentral's name for it is "partial 16S ribosomal RNA". It matches the Rfam family "Bacterial small subunit ribosomal RNA", at positions 524 to 776 of the family's 1533-position model. The record is from RNAcentral.